This 253-nucleotide ribosomal RNA is filed under the name uncultured bacterium. RNAcentral describes it as "partial 16S ribosomal RNA". It matches the Rfam family "Bacterial small subunit ribosomal RNA", at positions 75 to 334 of the family's 1533-position model. The record is from RNAcentral.
CAACCAAAGCUGGCGACCGGCGCACGGGUGAGUAACACGUAUCCAACCUGCCUCAUACUCGGGGAUAGCCUUUCGAAAGAAAGAUUAAUAUCCGAUAGCAUAUAUUUCCCGCAUGGGUUUUAUAUUAAAGAAAUUCGGUAUGAGAUGGGGAUGCGUUCCAUUAGUUUGUUGGGGGGUAACGGCCCACCAAGACGAUGAUAGGUAGGGGUUCUGAGAGGAAGGUCCCCCACAUUGGAACUGAGACACGGUCCAA